RNAcentral lists this ribosomal RNA (572 nucleotides) under uncultured Glomeromycotina. RNAcentral's name for it is "SSU rRNA". It matches the Rfam family "Eukaryotic small subunit ribosomal RNA", at positions 548 to 1114 of the family's 1831-position model. Lineage: Eukaryota; Fungi; Glomeromycota. The record is from RNAcentral.
UUGGAGGGCAAGUCUGGUGCCAGCAGCCGCGGUAAUUCCAGCUCCAAUAGCGUAUAUUAAAGUUGUUGCAGUUAAGAAGCUCGUAGUUGAAUUUCGGGAUUGACGUGAUGGUCAUGCCUUAAGGGGUAUGAACUGUCACUGUUGAUUUCUCACCUUCUGGAGAAACUUGAUGUCCUUUAUUGGGUGUCUUGCGGAUCCAGGACCUUUACCUUGAAAAAAUUAGAGUGUUUAAAGCAGGCAUUUUUGCUCGAAUACAUUAGCAUGGAAUAAUAGAAUAGGACGGCAUGGUUCUAUUUUGUUGGUUUCUAGGAUCACCGUAAUGAUUAAUAGGGAUAGUUGGGGGCAUUAGUAUUCAAUUGUCAGAGGAGAAAUUCUUGGAUUUAUUGAAGACUAACUACUGCGAAAGCAUUUGCCAAGGAUGUUUUCAUUAAUCAAGAACGAAAGUUAGGGGAUCGAAGACGAUCAGAUACCGUCGUAGUCUUAACCAUAAACUAUGCCGACUAGGAAUCAGACGAUGUUAAUUUUUUAAUGACUCGUUUGGCACCUUACGGGAAACCAAAGUGUUUGGGUUC